This is a long non-coding RNA of Syngnathus acus (greater pipefish), 1680 nucleotides long. RefSeq lists it as uncharacterized. The record is from RefSeq and is a predicted model, not a curated record. NCBI's taxonomy places the organism in Eukaryota, Metazoa, Chordata, Actinopteri, Syngnathiformes, Syngnathidae. The transcript is spliced from 2 exons.
AUUUACAUAGUGGCCACAAAAGCCAUGUGGCUCCGCCCACUGGUGGAAUAUCAAGACGCCACGCCGCCCGGGAUGAGACCCUCAAGAAACGCGACCCCCUCGGACCGGCCCCCGACGACAAAAGGAGCAGGAGGACGAGGAAGAGGAGGAAGGAGGAGGAGGAGGGCAACAACCCUGAUGCUAAUGUAGCAGCCUUUCAAGUUUUGCAAAAUAGCAGUCAAGAACAUGCGCUAACAGCUACUAGCAAGCCGUGAGAUUGUUUUAAGCGAGGCGCACACAGCAAGCGGACAACUGAGGCCAUGAUGGUUAAAGCUCCAAACACGGCAGUAGGCAGAAGAACAGUAGGCAGUAGAAGAACAAAAGAAGAGAAAAAUCAAGAGGCAGGAGAAGAAAAGCAAGUGGAAUGUCAUGGCUAUCAAAAGUCCCAGGCAGCAGAUUUGCGCCGGACUUUCCACCUGGAUAACGUUUCCUCAUUAAUUGCUUGAGCUCAGCUUGCAUUGGACGUUCUUGGAUAUUUUUAGCACGCGCAUUGUGACAUAGUGGACCGGCACGUUAGCACGUUGGCUUCAGAAUCCGGCCUUUUCCAAAUUGGAAAGUGAUUGACAAGCUGUCAACCAACCGGUGCGUUGUUGAAAGUGACAGACAAACUAAGUGGUGACCGUUGGGUUGUGUUUGUCGCCACAUCCUGACACCGAUUCUACCUUUGGCUCCAUCCGCCCUGUCGACCAAGACUGUUGGCGACCAACUGGUCAACAUUGCAGGCAGCGAAUGGGGUCAAGGUUCGCAAGCAAAUGUUUAGGUGCCACAGGAAUGUUCCCGAGUUGCCGUGUCACUUUACGCGGACAAAACCCGUCGCUUUUGGCGCAGUGUUUGAGAGCCCGUUUUCAGCUUGGAGGAACACCAGGUGGCCGCGUAAGCAACUGCAUGCAGUGAUUCAAUCGGACGCGAAAGGGUGCAGAUUGGGGGGGGGCAUCUAGUGGCCGUCUGAGGAAGUGCGGCACACUCGCGUUUUCACAGAGCGUGUUGUUUUAAGAUCCAUUGCAGGUUUGUGGUGUCACUCAACACCUGCACACCUCAAGGGAACCCAAGUGGCUCAUGUUAAAUUAGGCCUGCGAGAUGCCAACGUGUUUAAUAGGAGGACUUAAAAAGCAUCAGCGGCAUGCUUCGAGCGUUUACGAUCAUCGAAGGCGACGCGGUCAAAGGAUUAUCUAUGGCGGACAGGUGGACGGACGGCAACCUUGUAAAAUGGGACAGUGUCGAAAUCAAUGCUCCUCCUUGAAGGAGGUCGUGACUGCGGUUCAACGAGCAUGAUAAACUUAACCUGCUGAUUGGCCUUCUCAUUUUACCUUGCAACAUCUGAUGUCGUUACCUUUUCUAAUUUGCACCUCCACAUAGCAAACCACAAGAACAAUUUCAAUGAAAGGCAUUUUGGCUAAGCUCAUUGCUAACUUAGCCUCAGAAUUUGAGCAACGACUGUAUAACAUUUUCCAAUUCAAAGCAAAAUAUAUAAACAAUCAAAUAACAGCUGGACUCAAAAUGUCUUCAUUAAAUGUGUUCAGCUCACAGUUUGCUAAUUACUUGGUGUGCUACUCAAACAGCAGUUGUUUCACUUUAGCCACUUUUAGCAUGAUGCUAACAUUGCUACCACCACAACAAUAAACAAGUUCUUUUCAAGUCGAA